RNAcentral lists this ribosomal RNA (496 nucleotides) under uncultured bacterium. Its description in RNAcentral is "partial 16S ribosomal RNA". It matches the Rfam family "Bacterial small subunit ribosomal RNA", at positions 28 to 506 of the family's 1533-position model. The record is from RNAcentral.
GAUGAACGCUGGCGGCGUGCCUAAUACAUGCAAGUCGAGCGAACGGACGAGAAGCUUGCUUCUCUGAUGUUAGCGGCGGACGGGUGAGUAACACGUGGAUAACCUACCUAUAAGACUGGGAUAACUUCGGGAAACCGGAGCUAAUACCGGAUAAUAUUUUGAACCGCAUGGUUCAAAAGUGAAAGACGGUCUUGCUGUCACUUAUAGAUGGAUCCGCGCUGCAUUAGCUAGUUGGUAAGGUAACGGCUUACCAAGGCAACGAUGCAUAGCCGACCUGAGAGGGUGAUCGGCCAACCGGGAACGGAAACCCGGCCCAGACUCCCACGGGAGGCAGCAGGGGGGAAUUUUCCGAAGUGGGAGAAAGCCGGAAGGAGCAACGCCGGGGGGGGGAUGAAGGUUUUGGGAUCUUAAAACCUUUUUAUUAGGGAAAAAAAAAUGGGAAAGAACCUGGGCAAAUCUUGACGGUACCUAAUCAAAAAGCCCCGGUUAACUACGU